This 454-nucleotide ribosomal RNA is filed under the name uncultured bacterium. RNAcentral's name for it is "partial 16S ribosomal RNA". It matches the Rfam family "Bacterial small subunit ribosomal RNA", at positions 28 to 507 of the family's 1533-position model. The record is from RNAcentral.
GAUGAACGCUGACAGAAUGCUUAACACAUGCAAGUCUACUUGAACUUCGGUUUGGGUGGCGGACGGGUGAGUAACGCGUAAAGAACUUGCCUCACAGAUAGGGACAACAUUUGGAAACGAAUGCUAAUACCUGAUAUUAUGAUUUUAGGGCAUCCUAGAAUUAUGAAAGCUAUAUGCACUGUGAGAGAGCUUUGCGUCCCAUUAGCUAGUUGGAGAGGUAACGGCUCACCAAGGCGAUGAUGGGUAGCCGGCCUGAGAGGGUGAUCGGCCACAAGGGGACUGAGACACGGCCCUUACUCCUACGGGAGGCAGCAGUGGGGAAUAUUGGACAAUGGACCAAGAGUCUGAUCCAGCAAUUCUGUGUGCAGGAUGAAGUUUUUCGGAAUGUAAAGUGCUUUCAGUUGGGAAGAAAAAAAUGACGGUACCAACAGAAGAAGUGACGGCUAAAUACGUG